GUGGUCUUUCAAAAUAUAGAAUGGCUGCAUAGGUAUGCAGUGUUCUUUCUGGUGUUGUCAAAACAUCCCAGAUGAUUCUGCCACCUGGAAGAGACAUCAUAUGAGCCACCAGGUGGAAUCUGAAAAGUACUUCAGAAAGGCAGUAUUGGGCAACAGUGCUCCUUGAUUAAAAGAUUGUCAUGGUUUUAUGAUUUUUGUGCUACUUCUUAGUAGCUCAGGAUUUUGCCUUCUUUCCAGUGCAAGAUUUUCAAAAACAGUGUUUACAUUCCCAGAAAGCAUUGAAAAAGACAUCAGUUAAACCUACUGAGGAUGUUGUAAGAUAGUACUAUGAAACUUACGUGUUUUUUUUCUCCUUUAUCUAUUGUCAUUGCCUGGAAUUUUUCCAAGAAUUGAACCUGAAAGAACUAAUGGGAGAAGAUUGGGACCAGCCUGAAUCUGAUAUCCUGGGAGUGAGAAACACUUCUAAGGUGCAAGUCAAAGUCUGAAGUCCAGUGCUGUUGUUGAAGAGCACCAAUGCUUCAGUUCCUUGUUCACUAUGGGCCUCUCCUGCUUCAGUUCUGAAAACAUCAAACACCACCUGCAAGCCUGACAAGCAGCGGGACAUAAGUGAUGCGCCCCGUAAUCUGUUCAAAGUCUCUUGUACAGUAACACUUCUGUUUCUUUGAAACCACAAAGCUUUUUGUUUGUUUGUUUUUAAUUUCUGAUGGAUUAUGGUUCUGGGAAUUGCCAAAUCUCUUUAAAUUGAGGGUUUUUUUUUUUUUUGAGAACCUGUAUGCUGUUUUUUUGUUUGUUUUUUUUCUCUUGGUAGUAUGUAAAUUUUUCUGUGUGUGUGUGUGCUAUUCACACACUGACUGAGAAUGCUAUUAGUUGAAUUGUUCUGGAGAACAAAUUGCCCACGGUAAUACUACACGCUAUAAUGCCAUUGGUAUAUACAAUAUAUGCUAUGCUUCUCUUAUAUGCUAAUUAUACUAUUUCUUUUACAUUAUGGCUCCCCUAAGACCAGUGAAGUCACGUAAUUCAGAACUACCAGGACAUCCUAAGCAGUCUGCAGGUUGUGAAUGAGUAGGCCAGCUCCUGAAUGCCAUUUUCAUGGGGGACUUAUCAGAAAACUCUAUGGGGAAAACUGCUGGCAGUUGCUAAUGCCUGGGAAAUGGGCUAUUUAAUACAUGGCAGAGUUAAAAGAACCCAAGGAGAGCAUUUUGAUAAGACUAGGGAAGGAAACAGCCCACAGGAAUACUGAUGAACUGGAGGUAGGAAGUGUUCCCAGUUCUCAAAAUGUUUUGUUGUAUUUCUGACUGUAACUCUUUUCUCGGGAAGAGAGGUGGAGUGGUUGGAUAGGUGUUUGUCUGUAGCUUGCCUGCUGUUAUCUAAAACAACUUGUAUUUUUCUACUUGUGCAUUCUUAUGGAGCAAUUCCUUUGAAGUUAUCAUGCAUUAAGCAUUAUAUUAGUAAUUGUAGAGAAUUUUGAGUUUGUAAUGCUUUGAAAGCUAAGUAAAAUCACCUCUAGGACAUCACUGGUAUUGCUUCUACACAUACAUAACAGUACUUUGCUGAUACAGCCUAUCUGACUAAAGUGAAAUAAUGCUUCCUUUGUAGUGUUUAGGGUACAGGACUUAAUCAGCCUGUACUUCUAAACUUCAAGAUAGGAACAAGUAUUUUUUCUGGUUUGUUUUAUUUUCUUGAGCAACAGCUUUUGUUUCAUAAACAGUGAAUUGCUGCUUAUAGCAUACAAGUGUGCAGCACCGAUCUGUAACAAUAACUCAGUUACUGAAAUAUUGGCAAGAAUAGGGAUGGCUGUGGUAACCCAAGUGUAGUGUAGAAGUAGCAGAAUGGUAGGAAUCUUGAGAAAACAAACAAUGUCUGUGUCCUGCUGAGCGUGCUGGUCAACUCAGGCUUAUAACAUGCUGGAUACUUUUCUACUUUUCAUCAUCACAGCAGUGAAAGCAAUUGUUUUAUUACUUACAUGCGUAGUAGUUUUGUAUUACAAUUUCAAUUAGCUUAGUUUUAAUAACCUAUUAAAUUUUACUAGCAGAUACAGUAAAAAUUAAAACAAGGAACUUCAAGGCAUGUUUUCAGAGGUUCCUGUUCUUAAACUUGGGGAAAUAAUUUCCCUGCUCCUCAUCUUCUGUGCAGAAGCUCUUGCACAAGGGACAGUGGAUUGAGUUUCCCCAAGCUCAAUGCUAGAGUUAACUGAAAGCCCAGAGUUGCAGGUCUGUCACUGCUUCUGAAACUGCUCUUCUAUCUGUUCUGUUUUCUCAUUCACUGUGUUCUGUUGUGAGAAUGUUGAUCCUGAAGUAGAAUAUGAGCUUGAAAGUGCUAUAAUUUAAAGUUACAGUUGAUGUAAUGGAUGUAUUUCUGUUGCAUGCGUAGUAUUUAAGACUAAUAGACUUGGUUUGUUUGUUUGUUUUUCCUACCCACGAUGUAAGAUAAGUCAGCAGAAACCUCUAAUAAGCUCUUAUAUUUUUCUCCAGUGCUGCUGUUGUCUGCUGUUGUGGGCAGUAGAAAUAAGCUGUUUUAUGUAGUUUACACUAUCUGUGGUAUUGGAUCUGCAGAAUUUAAUGAAAUUAUAAAUUCUAAACUGUCUCGCUGCCAUGCUUCUUAUUUUUCCCCUACAUCUUAGUAAAUACUUGUGCAGUUGAGUCCAAAUGCAGAGUUGAAUAGUUAAAAUCUCUUAUUUGGGAACUAAUGAGACUGAAUGACCCUGCAAACAAAAGUCCUGAGCUUGAUGAAUGAAAAAUAUACCUGUGAAGAGCACUUCAGCUUGUUUCAGUAAUUUUAUCUCGAGUGCAUUUGUAAACUCCUUGUGGUAGCAUGUCUAACGCCUGUGAAUUUAAACAUGAAGGUCAAGAUUCUACUUAGCCCUUCCUGCCAUGUCGUUGUUAGUGAAGAAUUUCCAGAGUUGUCGUCUGGGAACUUCCUCAGGCUGCGCUCCCGAAGACCUUGCUUUGUACACUUCUUGCCACUAGGUGGAGGAAGCCGGUCGCAAAGCUCCCUCCUGGCACUGUCAGACCGGUCAUCCGUAAUCGGAUCCACUCCUCGUCUUCCUCAACAGCAGAGUGCCUCAUUUGCCAGAAACAAAAUUUGAUAUUGUUCGUUCACGCUAUCCAAGCCUUUUCUAAAAUGGACUUCGUUGCAAGUAAUUACAGUGCAUUUGUAAUGAUACUACUGAAAUUGGAUAGUUAACCUGUAUUUCUUGUACUGAUGAUUCCUUCAUUCUGCUGUCAGUGAGUGCGUUGGUUUACUAUCUUGUCUCUGAACAGUGCUUCAGCAAAAGCCCUAGGAAGUGCUUUAAGCCUAAUUACAGAGCCCUUAUUUACACUGGUUGUAUAAACAGCUCUACUCAUACUCCUACAAAUAGUCCCAGUGAGAUCAAUGCAACUGUUAACACGAGAAAGUAAAUCACAAUCAUGUCUCUUUUCCACUUACUUUUCUACCCCUUGAAAUCAGAAUAUCUGUAUUACCCAGGGAAUCCAGUUCUAGAAGCUACUUCUAUAUUAGCAUAAUGCUGGGCACUGCUUUUUUUCUUUCCUUGGGCCUAAAGCAAGGAAAAAGCUUUGGCUGCACUGUCCAUGGGAGGGUUUUAAUUGGUGAUGCAGAAAGCUGAUUGCACCUGCGUUCACUAUGGAUGUAUCAAAAUGUGCUCUUUAUGUAUUUUCAGAAAUGUUGUGGGAUACCACAAAGUACAGAAAUAUUC
Long non-coding RNA from Gallus gallus (chicken), 3694 nucleotides. Lineage: Eukaryota; Metazoa; Chordata; Aves; Galliformes; Phasianidae. The record is from Ensembl.